GGGUUGUGAGGUUAAGCGACUAAGCGUACACGGUGGAUGCCCUGGCAGUCAGAGGCGAUGAAGGACGUGCUAAUCUGCGAAAAGCGUCGGUAAGGUGAUAUGAACCGUUAUAACCGGCGAUGUCCGAAUGGGGAAACCCAGUGCAAUUCGUUGCACUAUCGUUAACUGAAUACAUAGGUUAACGAGGCGAACCGGGGGAACUGAAACAUCUAAGUACCCCGAGGAAAAGAAAUCAACCGAGAUUCCCCCAGUAGCGGCGAGCGAACGGGGAGCAGCCCAGAGUCUGAAUCAGCUUGUGUGUUAGUGGAACGGUCUGGAAAGUCCGACGGUACAGGGUGAUAGUCCCGUACACCAAAAUGCACAGGUUGUGAACUCGAAGAGUAGGGCGGGACACGUGGUAUCCUGUCUGAAUAUGGGGGGACCAUCCUCCAAGGCUAAAUACUCCUGACUGACCGAUAGUGAACCAGUACCGUGAGGGAAAGGCGAAAAGAACCCCGGCGAGGGGAGUGAAAAAGAACCUGAAACCGUGUACGUACAAGCAGUGGGAGCACCUUCGGGUGUGACUGCGUACCUUUUGUAUAAUGGGUCAGCGACUUAUAUUCUGUAGCAAGGUUAACCGUAUAGGGGAGCCGCAGGGAAACCGAGUCUUAACUGGGCGUUAAGUUGCAGGGUAUAGACCCGAAACCCGGUGAUCUAGCCAUGGGCAGGUUGAAGGUUGGGUAACACUAACUGGAGGACCGAACCGACUAAUGUUGAAAAAUUAGCGGAUGACUUGUGGCUGGGGGUGAAAGGCCAAUCAAACCGGGAGAUAGCUGGUUCUCCCCGAAAGCUAUUUAGGUAGCGCCUCGUGAACUCAUCUUCGGGGGUAGAGCACUGUUUCGGCUAGGGGGUCAUCCCGACUUACCAACCCGAUGCAAACUACGAAUACCGAAGAAUGUUAUCACGGGAGACACACGGCGGGUGCUAACGUCCGUCGUGAAGAGGGAAACAACCCAGACCGCCAGCUAAGGUCCCAAAGUCAUGGUUAAGUGGGAAACGAUGUGGGAAGGCACAGACAGCCAGGAUGUUGGCUUAGAAGCAGCCAUCAUUUAAAGAAAGCGUAAUAGCUCACUGGUCGAGUCGGCCUGCGCGGAAGAUGUAACGGGGCUAAACCAUGCACCGAAGCUGCGGCAGCGACACUAUGUGUUGUUGGGUAGGGGAGCGUUCUGUAAGCCUGCGAAGGUGGCCUGUGAGGGUUGCUGGAGGUAUCAGAAGUGCGAAUGCUGACAUAAGUAACGAUAAAGCGGGUGAAAAGCCCGCUCGCCGGAAGACCAAGGGUUCCUGUCCAACGUUAAUCGGGGCAGGGUGAGUCGACCCCUAAGGCGAGGCCGAAAGGCGUAGUCGAUGGGAAACAGGUUAAUAUUCCUGUACUUGGUGUUACUGCGAAGGGGGGACGGAGAAGGCUAUGUUAGCCGGGCGACGGUUGUCCCGGUUUAAGCAUGUAGGCUGAUUGUCCAGGCAAAUCCGGAUAAUCAAGGCUGAGGUGUGAUGACGAGGCACUACGGUGCUGAAGUAACAAAUGCCCUGCUUCCAGGAAAAGCCUCUAAGCAUCAGGUAACAUUAAAUCGUACCCCAAACCGACACAGGUGGUCAGGUAGAGAAUACCAAGGCGCUUGAGAGAACUCGGGUGAAGGAACUAGGCAAAAUGGUGCCGUAACUUCGGGAGAAGGCACGCUGGUGUGUAGGUGAAGUCCCUGCGGAUGGAGCUGAGACCAGUCGAAGAUACCAGCUGGCUGCAACUGUUUAUUAAAAACACAGCACUGUGCAAACACGAAAGUGGACGUAUACGGUGUGACGCCUGCCCGGUGCCGGAAGGUUAAUUGAUGGGGUUAUCCGUAAGGAGAAGCUCUUGAUCGAAGCCCCGGUAAACGGCGGCCGUAACUAUAACGGUCCUAAGGUAGCGAAAUUCCUUGUCGGGUAAGUUCCGACCUGCACGAAUGGCGUAAUGAUGGCCAGGCUGUCUCCACCCGAGACUCAGUGAAAUUGAACUCGCUGUGAAGAUGCAGUGUACCCGCGGCAAGACGGAAAGACCCCGUGAACCUUUACUAUAGCUUGACACUGAACAUUGAGCCUUGAUGUGUAGGAUAGGUGGGAGGCUUUGAAGCGUGGACGCCAGUCUGCGUGGAGCCAACCUUGAAAUACCACCCUUUAAUGUUUGAUGUUCUAACGUUGGCCCCUUACCGGGGUUGCGGACAGUGUCUGGUGGGUAGUUUGACUGGGGCGGUCUCCUCCCAAAGCGUAACGGAGGAGCACGAAGGUUAGCUAAUCCUGGUCGGACAUCAGGAGGUUAGUGCAAUGGCAUAAGCUAGCUUGACUGCGAGCGUGACGGCGCGAGCAGGUGCGAAAGCAGGUCAUAGUGAUCCGGUGGUUCUGAAUGGAAGGGCCAUCGCUCAACGGAUAAAAGGUACUCCGGGGAUAACAGGCUGAUACCGCCCAAGAGUUCAUAUCGACGGCGGUGUUUGGCACCUCGAUGUCGGCUCAUCACAUCCUGGGGCUGAAGUAGGUCCCAAGGGUAUGGCUGUUCGCCAUUUAAAGUGGUACGCGAGCUGGGUUUAGAACGUCGUGAGACAGUUCGGUCCCUAUCUGCCGUGGGCGCUGGAGAAUUGAGGGGGGCUGCUCCUAGUACGAGAGGACCGGAGUGGACGCAUCACUGGUGUUCGGGUUGUCAUGCCAAUGGCACUGCCCGGUAGCUAAAUGCGGAAGAGAUAAGUGCUGAAAGCAUCUAAGCACGAAACUUGCCCCGAGAUGAGUUCUCCCUGAGACUUUAAGUCUCCUGAAGGAACGUUGAAGACGACGACGUUGAUAGGCCGGGUGUGUAAGCGCAGCGAUGCGUUGAGCUAACCGGUACUAAUGAACCGUGAGGCUUAACCUUACAACGCCGAAG
This 2923-nucleotide ribosomal RNA is filed under the name Klebsiella pneumoniae. RNAcentral describes it as "23S ribosomal RNA". It matches the Rfam family "Bacterial large subunit ribosomal RNA". The record is from RNAcentral. Lineage: Bacteria; Pseudomonadati; Pseudomonadota; Gammaproteobacteria; Enterobacterales; Enterobacteriaceae.